AGGUUAUCAAGGAGACAGGUGGUGCAUGGUUGUCGUCAGCUCGUGUCGUGAGAUGUUGGGUUAAGUCCCGCAACGAGCGCAACCCUUAUUGCUAGUUACCAUCAUUCAGUUGGGGACUCUAGCGAGACUGCCAGUGAUAAACUGGAGGAAGGUGGGGAUGACGUCAAAUCAUCAUGCCCCUUAUGACCUGGGCUACAAACGUGAUACAAUGGCUGAAACAAAGGGCAGCGAAGCAGUGAUGUGGAGCGAAACCCAAAAAGCAGUCUCAGUUCGGAUUGAAGUCUGCAACUCGACUUCAUGAAGUCGGAAUCGCUAGUAAUCGCGGAUCAGAACGCCGCGGUGAAUACGUUCUCGGGGUUU
RNAcentral lists this ribosomal RNA (360 nucleotides) under uncultured Acholeplasma sp. RNAcentral describes it as "bacterial SSU rRNA". It matches the Rfam family "Bacterial small subunit ribosomal RNA", at positions 1020 to 1382 of the family's 1533-position model. The record is from RNAcentral. Lineage: Bacteria; Bacillati; Mycoplasmatota; Mollicutes; Acholeplasmatales; Acholeplasmataceae.